Molecule: ribosomal RNA, 280 nt
Filed under: uncultured bacterium
Lineage: Bacteria
Description: partial 16S ribosomal RNA
Rfam family: Bacterial small subunit ribosomal RNA
Source: RNAcentral
GUGGAUUAUAUACCCUGGUAGUCCACGCCGUAAACGAUGGAUACUAGCUGUUGGGAUUUAUCUCAGUGGCUAAGCGAAAGUGAUAAGUAUCCCACCUGGGGAGUACGUUCGCAAGAAUGAAACUCAAAGGAAUUGACGGGGGCCCGCACAAGCGGUGGAGCAUGUGGUUUAAUUCGAUGAUACGCGAGGAACCUUACCAAGGCUUAAAUGUAGAUUGACCGGUUUGGAAACAGAUCUUUCGCAAGACAAUUUACAAGGUGCUGCACGGUCGUCGACAACU